RNAcentral lists this long non-coding RNA (256 nucleotides) under Callithrix jacchus (white-tufted-ear marmoset). RNAcentral describes it as "lncRNA (ENSCJAG00000083463.1)". The record is from RNAcentral. Lineage: Eukaryota; Metazoa; Chordata; Mammalia; Primates; Cebidae.
GUCAGACAUAAUUGAUUAAUUAUGUAAAAUUUCUCACCAGAAAAAGAAUACACAAUCUAUUUGAACAGAAUCAGUGAUACUUUGUAAUAAGCACUGGGACAUCAAGAAAGUAAAGGAUGAAACCAUAGCUGGAGUGCAGUGGCAUGAUGUAAGCUCACUGAAAAUAGAACCACUAUAUUAUUCCACAUUCCCACUUAGUGGCAAGAGAGAAAAGGAGUACAAACAAGGGAAAUGCCAGAUGCUUGUAAAACCAUGA